GACAAUGGGUUAUCGGCGGAGUUGAACGGGAUGAUCAUGGUAAAAGCAAGGUAUUUCUCGUCCCCCUGUACCGGAUCGUUGCUCUGACACAUUAAUUGGGGUUAUUGAACGUUUUGUGAAACCUGGCACACCGAUAAUAACCGAUUGAUGGAAGUGGUCCGAUGCUUUACAAACAGAGCGUUUACGUUAUUUCACUUUGAAUCACUCGUUGAACUUAGUUGAUCCGGAAAUAGAAGCUCGAACUCAGAACACUGAAAGGCUUCGGGUUGAAGUUCGUAAGGUGGUCCCGGGGGCACGGAUCAUUUGGGGGGUUAUCUGUACGACGUUUUGUUCCGUCCGUCCGUUUUUGGAAGGCGGCGCAACGUUUUACUCGCCGGAUCAUCCAUUGCGAUAAGGUCAAAUCUCUUUGAUUCCUCUGUGGGAUCCUAUAUUGAUGAACACAAUCCUUUUUAUUGGAAACUUCAUAUCAUAUCAAAGUUUUUCCACUCUGACAAUCCAGAUA
Long non-coding RNA from Coccinella septempunctata (seven-spotted ladybird), 502 nucleotides. RefSeq lists it as uncharacterized. The transcript is spliced from 2 exons. The record is from RefSeq and is a predicted model, not a curated record. NCBI's taxonomy places the organism in Eukaryota, Metazoa, Arthropoda, Insecta, Coleoptera, Coccinellidae.